UUCAGCGUGAGCCCAAGUGGUUCCUCAGCAGCAGACACUCAUGGGCAUGAUCCUGGCACUCGCUGAUGUUUGUCUGACAGCUGCGUGUGCUUCGGCCAAAGCUGCAGUAAGUGACCUACCAGGUUCCGCGGAGGAAGCCUGACCCUGCCAUUCCCCACUGAGUCAGGAGGUCAAGUGAGAAUUCCACUGAUGUCUUUAAAUAGUCUUGGCUGCAACAAGCUAACGUAGGGGAGGAUUUUGGAGUGUGCCAGUGUGCGCCUGGCAGGGAUAGGCAGGUCUGCAGUUGCUGCUGGAGGGGGAAUUUGGAGGAGACUUCCUUAGCUGCCUCUAAGUGACACUGACCACAUGUUUAACCUUUACCAGAAGAGACUUUUCAGGGCUCUCUGAUGGAAUGCAGUGGAAAUAACUCCCAGAACAUCGCUGGACAAGGUUUUGAAAUUCCAGGGCACUAGGCUUCUGGUUUCUUUGUACAUGGACAUAGAAGAACCCAAAUGUCAUUCUCACCCUCAGAAAGUAUGAUGAAUUUCAUUCCAGGCAAAGGUGGAUUCACUGCGAAGUUAACACAGCUUAAACUUCAGCACCCCUCACAUGCCCGGGACACUCCCAAGGCACUAGGUGAGGCCACAGUCAUGUGUUCAUAUUGAAAAUAAACUGUAAAAGUUAGGCAUUUUAGCUGCAAUCCACUUGGAAUUCUCUCUGUCACACUUCCCCUCAGUUUAGGUGGCAAGAGAGUGGCCAAACAUUUUUGGGGUCUAGCCGAAAGAACUUGGAUAAGAAAUGCAUCUUCUUGGCAGGGCACAGUGGCUCAUGCCUGUAAUCCCAGCACUUUGGGACGCCAAGGCAGGCGGAUCACAAG
Molecule: long non-coding RNA, 856 nt
Organism: Sapajus apella (tufted capuchin)
Lineage: Eukaryota; Metazoa; Chordata; Mammalia; Primates; Cebidae
Exons: 3
Source: RefSeq, a predicted model, not a curated record